GAUGAACGCUGACAGAAUGCUUAACACAUGCAAGUCUUUGGCGAAGCUGUGCUUGCACAGCCUAGCCAAGGCGGACGGGUGAGUAACGCGUAAGGAACUUGCCCUGCAGUCAGGGAUAACAGACGGAAACGACUGAUAAGACCUGGUAAAGUCAGGCGGACUCAUGUCCAGCCUGAUGAAAAGAGAUGCUGCAGGAGAGCCUUGCGUCCUAUUAGCUUGUUGGUGGGGUAACGGCCCACCAAGGCGAUGAUAGGUAGCCGGCCUGAGAGGGUGGGCGGCCACAAGGGGACUGAGAUACGGCCCUUACUCCUACGGGAGGCAGCAGUGGGGAAUAUUGGACAAUGGGGGCAACCCUGAUCCAGCAAUUCUGUGUGCACGAUGAAGGUUUUCGGAUUGUAAAGUGCUUUCAGCAGGGAAGAAAAAAUGACGGUACCUGCAGAAGAAGCGACGGCUAAAUACGUG
RNAcentral lists this ribosomal RNA (462 nucleotides) under uncultured bacterium. RNAcentral describes it as "partial 16S ribosomal RNA". It matches the Rfam family "Bacterial small subunit ribosomal RNA", at positions 28 to 507 of the family's 1533-position model. The record is from RNAcentral.